AUGAGGGAUCUGUUUAAUAUGGAUGAAGUACCAACACUCCAGGCAUUUUCAUUGACAUUUCACUGUGACUUUUUGAACUUAGGAGUGGUGACAGGCAAGCCUACUCUGGCAGCCCUGCGGAGCGGGCGGUGGGACAGCAGCGCAGGCCAGGAGAGGUACAAGGCUGUGUCCGCUUCUCGCUCCCUCUGUUUUCCUGUGCUCUCUGUACUUCAUUUUCUUCCUCGCUUUUGCACUUGCCAGUCGUCCAGGAUUCCAUCUCUGAAGCCAGCCAGGAAAGCAGGCAAGGCUGGGGGCUCGUGCUCCCACGGCCCGUCGCCUCUCCAGCGCUGGGCUUGCAACCCUGGACCAGAGGGGGCGUUUGUAACAAGACCUUCUGCAAAGGUCAAGACACGCUUCUUUCGGUACCUGGAAGCCAGAAGCCACCCAGAGGGGCCGGGCGGGGCACAUCUGAGAAACAGACCCAAAGGGUCCAGGCGGGCAGGGAAGCGGGCCCCCCUCCCCCCCCGCCCCCCCGCCGCCCCCGCCGCCCCCCGGCCCCCUCGCUCGGUCCUCCCCGGCGGCCCCCAGGCUCAGCUCCGGGGCAGCCCCGCCGUCUGGCAGGAGCCGGGGAGAGACAUGCUGUUUUGUUUAAAUCCUCCACAUUCUUUGCCAUUUCCCCAUUGGCCGGAUGGGGCUACCCUCCCCGCCGCGGCCGCUGCUGAUGUCAGCCCGGCUGGCGCUCGCUCCUCCCGCACCCACCUCCCCGGCCCGAGGCACACUGCAGCUCGGCGCGGACUCCCGGGCCCGGCGCGGCGGCUGCAAACUCGCGGGCACGCACGGCGCUCGCCGAGCCCGGGCACUCGGGGGAGGGAGGGCCGUGCGCGGAAGGCGCCGCCUCCUCCCGCCCGCCCCGGCCGCCGCGAGCCCCGCUCGGAGCAACCCGCGGCCCAAGCCCGGCGCAGCCGAGCGGCCGCGGCUUCCCUUUCCUCCCGCCGCGAGCCCCGGCGCGCCUCGCGGACGGGCCCUAAAAAGAGCAGGAAAUCUUGUUUACCGCCCGGGGAGAAGAGCCGGCCGAGCCUUUGUCUGGAAAGUCAGCAUCUCCGGCUCCGGCUGCAAUGGGCUCCUGGUGACAUUCGCCUUCGGGCAGACCCGCCGGAGCGGGGGUCGCCAGGUUCAGGCGGCCCGAGGCGGGGGACUUUUUGUGCAUUUCGUCUUAAUUUUCGGAAAGCUCUCUCUUUUCCUCCCUUGCCCGCCACCGGGCAUGUCCUGAUCCGGCGGCCGCUCCUCCCGCCCGGGGCCGCCGAUCAGAGCGGUUUCCAGCGGGUCCCCCUCCCGCCCUCCGCGGUCCCUCCCUGA
This 1335-nucleotide long non-coding RNA is filed under the name Canis lupus familiaris (dog). RNAcentral describes it as "lncRNA (ENSCAFG00845026917.1)". Lineage: Eukaryota; Metazoa; Chordata; Mammalia; Carnivora; Canidae. The record is from RNAcentral.